Molecule: ribosomal RNA, 170 nt
Filed under: Croton oerstedianus
Lineage: Eukaryota; Viridiplantae; Streptophyta; Magnoliopsida; Malpighiales; Euphorbiaceae
Description: 5.8S ribosomal RNA
Rfam family: 5.8S ribosomal RNA
About the family: 5.8S ribosomal RNA (5.8S rRNA) is a component of the large subunit of the eukaryotic ribosome.
Source: RNAcentral
AAAACGACUCUCGGCAACGGAUAUCUCGGCUCUCGCAUCGAUGAGAGAACGCAGCGAAAUGCGAUACUUGGUGUGAAUUGCAGAAUCCCGCGAACCAUCGAGUCUUUGAACGCAAGUUGCGCCCGAAGCCUUUUGGCCGAGGGCACGUCUGCCUGGGUGUCACGCAACAU